Chrysemys picta bellii (western painted turtle) is the source of this 3776-nucleotide non-coding RNA. Lineage: Eukaryota; Metazoa; Chordata; Testudines; Emydidae. The record is from RefSeq and is a predicted model, not a curated record.
UUCCAUACACUAUGUUCAGUACUAGAAAAUAGAAUUUUGCCUCUUCGGGGACUCUGUAGAUGUAAGGCGUUCGAGCAUGAAGAGAAGCACCAAUAUGGGAAAACUGAGCCUGUGGCAGAUAAAUAUAUAUAAAAGAAUGGCAAAGUCAUACCAAUGUACCCUGACAUGAAUUAAAUGCAACAACAGCUCCUGUCAGGUCAAAGUUGAUCCACUGCUGGCUUCCCUUCUGCUGAAAACAACAAACCAACUCCUCACAAGUCUUGCUGGCGCUGCUGUUUUGUAUGUCAGAAGAAAGUCUGCAGGUGCAAUUAGAAUUUUCUCUCAAUUCCCUAAUCCAUGCUGAGUGCCUCGUUUGGGGCACCUCCCAGACUCAGGCUCUAAGAGCUCAGAACAAUCUACUAGUGUCAACAGGCUGAAUGCAACAAAACCGGUCCCACCAGAAUUCGUGUGCAAAGCUGAAUUUAUGCUUUGCCCUCCAUCUCAUUAACUUUUCCUGAACUUAAAUUACUUGAGACUGUUCCCUGAGUUACUAGUAGUACAUUUAUAGACCUAUCCACCAAGCCCUGUAAAUACCGUAUUACAGCUCAGUUUGAUUCUAAACUGUGGCAUAACGCCCCCAUGCCUCGAAAACAACUGAAGCUUGUCUGUUAUCCAAGUGUAUGUAUUUAACUGGUUUGUAGUAAGUCUAUAACAAUGAAUGGCUUACGCGACACUAUAUAAAUUGAUUCCAGUAAUGUUUUAAUGUAAGUACUUUGUAUAUAUUUGUACAUUUUUAAGAACUAUCAUGCCAUUUGUUUCCUAACUCCCUUAUUGUCUCUGAAUAAUGCUAGUUCAAAAAUUAAAAUUGGAUUUUCAAGCUGAUUGUAAAUAUUUAAAAGAUCUGCUGAAAAGGGGCCAAAUCCUUGUAGGAUUUAGUAUGGUUAAUUGUUAAUUAAACAAAUCAGUAUUAAUAAUACACAACUAUUUUCUGAAAACUAGAUUGCAUUUAGGAUUGCCUAAAAUAUUACAAUUGGUUUUAUUUCAUUUUCUACAGAAUUUUGAAGAACACAGUUACUAAACAUAAGUAUGUGUGCUAGGUUCUCAACUAUUCCUGUCUUCUACAGAUCAUAAAUUAGCUAUGAAGAUGUAGUUCUAUUUUCCCACAGGAAAGGCAAUUUCAUGAAAAAAAUCUAAAGCAUGGAUGAAAAGAUUCUAUAUUUAGAAUUACACUGAGGACUUACUAUGACCUUCAGAGAAUAGAAACUAAAAGGCUCAAUUUUUACAUACAAAAGAGCUGUUCAGUAAAACCUGAAAUUAAAAAAAGUGUUUAGAACACCUGCUUUCCAUGCAUUUGCCUUUUUUGAACAAAAUUUUUUAAAAGUUAAGCUUGAUUGAAACAUGCAUUAAUGUGACACAUUAAAUCUGGUUAACAAAGUAGUAGUGAUUACCAAUCUCAUAAACAUAAGAAGCUUGGUCACGCUUCUGCAAAUGAGCUACCAUAUUUUAGCUAUAGGCAGCAAUUUCUGUACAGUUCUUGGGGCUAGGAGGGCAAAUCGAAACCUUUAUCCAUCUCUACGCAAACACCAUAUUCACCUCACUAAUACAUGUUGUUACAUAAGAAGCAACCAUCAACAUGACCAAACAGCGCUUUGACUAUCCCAUUUUUAUGCCUUUCAUUAGAUUUCUGAGGGUUCUGUUUACAUAUUACUCAAAUCCUCUCUACACUUUCAGUUUGGAAGAUUCACUGAGCUUUCCCCUAUCUGGCUUCCAUGGAAAUGAAUCCUAAUUUAUAAGGCAAAAGCUAUUCAGAAGUGCCUCUUGGGACUCAGAUUUAGGAGUCAUACCUGCCUCACUGCCCCCCAAAAUCCUUUACUACAAUAGAACCAUUAUUGAUGUGUCUUUCACAAGCUUCUUGAAAAUCUUCCAGUGCAUCUUCUUCAACUAUUGUGUCCUGCAAGAUCACCUGUGCACAGAGAGCCUGUUAGAUUUCUGAAUGUUCAGGGGUAGGACCUAUCUCCUAUUAUCCAUAUAUAUGGUGCCUACCAUAAAAUGGACCUGUCUGAGGCCUCAGGAUGCUUUUGUAAUACAAAUACUAUUAAUACAUUAUAUGUUGACGCUCAGAAUGGGUUUGGAAUGUGCUCUGGCAGUAAGCCUGGCUCCCUCUAGCCACAAAUAGCUAAACAUCAUGUCAUUCUUUGCUCUACUUUUCAGAUAACCUUUUUUCUCAAUGCAUGAAAUUGUGCAUAAACAAAUGUUGCAUAUUGUGGCUGCCCAACUAAUCCUAUUGUUGCCCAAUUACAGAGUCCUAGGGAAAAGGUCUAGCUAGUUUGUUAGUAGACACCAUUCCUGCAGAUGAAGAUGAUUGUAAAAAUGAGCUUUGGAUAGGUGUAAGGUGGGUAACACAAAAUCACUUCCUUACUACCUAACAUGAUAAUAUAUCUCAGCUAUAAAACGCAAUAGCAAGCAAUGCAAAGAUUUUAAAAAGCAAGCAGGGUUCAAUUAUAUGAAAUCUCACAAUAUCUACAUAAUAUCUGUAGUUAUAUAGCACCUUUAUCUUAGUAUCAUAAGGAGCAUUACAAAGCUGGGGAAGUAUCACUAUCCAUGUUUUAUAGAUGGGGAAACUGAGGCACUGGGACUCUAAAGGUCAUACAUUGAGGCCAAGUCAAUGUUACAAACUUACGUCAGUAAAACUAUGUAAAAAAAAUCCAUACCCCUGAGUGAUACAGUUAUACCUACCUAAACCCUGGUGUGGACAGCACUAUGUCAGCAGGAGGGCUUCUCCUAUUGACAUAGCUACUGUUUCUUGCAGAGGUGGAUUAACUAUACUGACAGGACGUGCUCUCCCGUCAGCGUAGUAGCACCUUCACUGAAGCACUACCGUGCACCACUGCCGCGUUUUAAGCAUAGAUCUGCCCUGAGUAAAUAGUAAGAAAAGAAUAUACACAUCCUCACCCCUAGUCCUUCACUCUAACCACCUAAUCAACUUGCUUCCCUCUGCACUCCACAACUAAACUAACUAAAAUAUUAUCUUAUAUGAAGAAUGCAGCAGGGAUGUUUUUGUCGUGCCUGCAUGAUCCUCCAUCAAUCUCCAUUACAAACAUAAUAAAUCAUUACAGUGCACUCCACUAAAACUCUGCAGGAAUAAUGAGCACAUUUUAAGUUUUUUUAAUGCUAUUAGUACAGUAGUUUACAUUUAAUACAGUAACAUUACCUUGACGGGAGUAUUGUAAGUCACUGAAGGAUGAUUAUAGAUUCUGAACCCAGCCCAUAUAGGAAGACAAAUAUAUGGUACAUUUAAGAAAGAAGCAGGACACAUUCUUGCUCCAUAUUUACCUAUUAAAAGAAAUAAUCAUAAAACAUGUGAAGAAUUAGUAUACUAACUCUAUAUGGAGAAAAUUACAGCAUAUCUGAUGGAGCAUCCGCACCAAACAGCUACGAUAAUGCUGGAUGUAAAAAGCUUUUUAAAUGCUGGCAACCCAGCAUACAAAUCUGGUGGAAAAGCCUGUGCUGGCAAAUGGAAGAGCCACACACAAGCAGGUAACAACUAGAUACAGUAUGGUGUGUUGUUUCAAAGAUGAGAUUUUCUGUUUGUGACAGCCAGCUGCCUCAGCCACUGACCUCUUUUCUACAUACCCACAGGGACGGAAGAGCUCCGAACGCUGUUAAUACAACCUGCUCUAGAUAAAGGCAUCUUCCACAAAAGAAAAACUGACACUUUUAAGUCUGAUAUUAUGCUCUGCUUACUAAAUCUUGGUUUCUAAUGCAGGGCAGUGACAAUGCUUGGGAAAAGGGUCACA